UUCGAAUUGAAGGCUGAAAUUCGCCUUCAUGAAGUCGGAAUUGCUAGUAAUGGCAGGUCAGCAUACUGCCGUGAAUACGUUCCCGGGGCCUUGUACACACCGCCCGUCACACCAUGAGAGUUGGAGAUACCCGAAGCCUGUGAGCUAACUUAAAGAGGCAGCAGUCGAAGGUAGAGCCAAUGAUUGGGGUGAAGUCGUAACAAGGUACC
Molecule: ribosomal RNA, 209 nt
Filed under: uncultured bacterium
Lineage: Bacteria
Description: partial 16S ribosomal RNA
Rfam family: Bacterial small subunit ribosomal RNA
Source: RNAcentral